RNAcentral lists this ribosomal RNA (204 nucleotides) under Tridacna crocea. RNAcentral's name for it is "partial 18S ribosomal RNA". It matches the Rfam family "Eukaryotic small subunit ribosomal RNA", at positions 1679 to 1831 of the family's 1831-position model. The record is from RNAcentral. Lineage: Eukaryota; Metazoa; Mollusca; Bivalvia; Cardiida; Cardiidae.
CUCCUACCGAUCGCUCUUGUUAAUGAGCUUGUCGGAUUGGACCCGGUGAGCAGUCGUUGCGCUCCAUCUCCUCGCGGGGUGGGCCUUCGUCUGCGAGCUUUGGUGUUUGCCGAGAAGAUCGGCAAAUUAUCUGGAGUAGAGGAAGUAAAAGUCGUAACAAGGUAUCCGUAGGUGAACCUGCGGAUGGAUCAUUACUGUUUAAUA